AUGAUCGAAGCUGAAUACACCGAGCGAUUUUUCUCUCAAUAUAUUUUGGGAGUCCAAGCCAGAUUUCUGAUCUAU
This 75-nucleotide small nucleolar RNA is filed under the name Ricinus communis (castor bean). Its description in RNAcentral is "Small nucleolar RNA Z103". It matches the Rfam family "Small nucleolar RNA Z103", at positions 26 to 100 of the family's 100-position model. Rfam says of the family: This family consists of several snoRNA Z103 sequences which are members of the C/D class of snoRNA which contain the C (UGAUGA) and D (CUGA) box motifs. This family seems to be found exclusively in plants. C/D box small nucleolar RNAs are known to act as a methylation guides for 18S ribosomal RNA. Lineage: Eukaryota; Viridiplantae; Streptophyta; Magnoliopsida; Malpighiales; Euphorbiaceae. The record is from Rfam by way of RNAcentral.